AUUGAACGCUGGCGGCAUGCCUUACACAUGCAAGUCGAACGGCAGCGGGGGAGAAGCUUGCUUUUCCUGCCGGCGAGUGGCGAACGGGUGAGUAAUACAUCGGAACGUGCCCUGUAGUGGGGGAUAACUAGUCGAAAGAUUAGCUAAUACUGCAUACGACCUGAGGGUGAAAGUGGGGGACCGCAAGGCCUCAUGCUAUAGGAGCGGCCGAUGUCUGAUUAGCUAGUUGGUGGGGUAAAGGCCUACCAAGGGUACGAUCAGUAGCUGGUCUGAGAGGACGAUCAGCCACCCUGGGACUGAGACACGGCCCAGACUCCUAGGGGAGGCAGCAGUGGGGAAUUUUGGACAAUGGGCGAAAGCCUGAUCCAGCAAUGCCGCGUGUGUGAAGAAGGCCUUCGGGUUGUAAAGCACUUUUGUCCGGAAAGAAAUGGCUCUGGUUAAUACCUGGGGUCGAUGACGGUACCGGAAGAAUAAGGACCGGCUAACUACGUGCCAGCCGCCGCAGUAA
Molecule: ribosomal RNA, 508 nt
Filed under: uncultured bacterium
Lineage: Bacteria
Description: partial 16S ribosomal RNA
Rfam family: Bacterial small subunit ribosomal RNA
Source: RNAcentral